UUGAUUUCCUUUUGACAAGUGCAAGACCUCCCAGUUAGCCAUUAUUAAUCUGUUUAAUGUGUGCUGUAUUGAUAUGGCAUUGUACUGAUUCUUAAAUAUUUUACUGUUCUUUCUGAGAAAUAUCUAUUAAUAUCCUAAAGAAGUAGGGAGCAAAGAAAGACUCACAAAAUAUGUAUAAUAAAAAUAUCUUUAUAAUAUGAAAUGCACAAGAAGGUAGACAGGGAAAGGAUUAACCAGGACCAACAUGUUCAAAACUGAGUGCCUCGAGUGAAAAGAUUCUGCUGUACCUAAAAUACUGAACACAAUUAGAUUAUUGUAGAGAUGUAGGACCAAAUUCAGUGUGGUGUAAGCGCAUGCAGCACCUGUUGAACUCCAUGGGAAUUUAACUCACUUAUACCCCAGUGCUAAAUUUGGUCUGGAGUCUUUAUUUCAUAAUAAAUGAUUAAAUGGAUUGUCAGAUUUGAUAUUCUCUCAUAAAUGUCUAAUUAAGAAAAAAAGUAAGCCUCUGCUUCAUAAAAUCUCUGACUAAUAGUACUAAUAAAAUGUCAUAAAUGCGAUGAAUGGUGUGAUAAUGCUUUCAGAGACUAAUUGCUUUUUAUUACCAUUUGUGUUGAACUGAUCAGAGUAACAGCCCCUUAGCUAAGAUACCACAAUAGUGUGAUGAGUGAUGACUAUCUGGUGCUUCCCUAACAGGGACUGCCCACAAGGAAGAGGAGAAAAAAUGGGCACCCCUAUGUGACUGGCUGCAGAUCAGGAAACAUCUAACAUGACUCAGACACCAAAUGGAGCACUCUAAAUAAAACUUUUGCUUAAGCAAAUGUGCCCUAGGCUAGGAGUCAGAAUACCCUGGAUUCUGUUCUCAAUUCUUCUAUUAGCUGGUGCUAAUAUCUCUCUCUUAUUAUUGCCUGCCUAAAAGGGAGGAAAGUUUUAAUCCCCACCCUUUCUAAGUAAAGGUAUGGAGAAGUUGCACAAGGUCAUGACAAGCAGAGUAGGGAAUAAUCUGAUCUUAUCCACUUUGUGAUUGCCUGGAAGAAGCAGCAUUCUGAGCUACACUGUCUGUAACUCCUGCCUUGCCCAUUAGUGAACAUCCUGCUCUCAGCCAGAAGCAAAGCCUUGGAAUGGCAAGUGCCACUGCUGUCUUACACAAUAUGCAACUGAACGGCAAAAGAGUGAAGCAGGUACAUGGGACUGUCUUGUUUGGGUGGGUUUUUUAAUGCCACCUAUUGCCAUAUCUUUCUGUCAGACAGCGAAGUCACAGAAAUGCAUUUGGCCCUUAGAGCAGAAGAUGGGGAGGGUUUUUGGUUUUUUUAGGUGCUUGCUUCAACAUUCUUUGAGUAGCCUCUAGGAGCGAUGACUCAGGUAAAAAGAUGACUCAGCCACAUAGACACGCUCUGCCCUUGUUGCUCUAUUGUGCCAUAUUCAUCAUAGAGCUUUAGGUGGUCUUUUAGAAAUCCUGGGCCCAACCCCUGAAUUUAAAGAGGGAGGCCUUGAACUACUUUCAAAAUUUGAUGAAAUUGCAUUGGCUUUAGCUAAGGAGGAGGAGCUUGAUGUAAAUCAGAACGUUCUGGAUUCAAACCCUACUGAUGACCCAAGUGGGGACAAAUUUGUGCGUGGUCAUUUAACUGAGGCAGAAUAUAAGUGCAUCUGGCAAACUUAGAGCUAGCAUUUCCCAGCAUUUGACUAUGAUUCUAUAGUAGUCUUUUUUUAGCAUAAUAUGCUUCCAUAGGUAUCUCAAGACCCCGUUAAGUUAGCAUUUAUUAAGGAAUGAGGUGCUUUGGGCGCUGCUAAUGGACUACAGUUCUUUUUACCUGAGUCAUUUUUUGCAAUUCAGCCCAGCGUGGUAGGGAGUAAAACCUGUUCCUAUCAGUUGUCUGUUUUGAGGCUUCUAUGUGAGAUGAGUUUAGAGGGUUUCAGUUUAGAUCCAGCACAACAAACACACUGCCACAUACUGCACUAACUGACAGACUCAGCAAGGAAGCCAAGAAUUACACUGAAACCAGAGUACCUCUACUACCCCAGCAGUAGUAGUGCCCCCAAGUCAGUGUUAAGGCAUGCUGGCAGGGCAGUGUACAGAGAAAGCUUGCCCUGCUGCAGCCCUGUAGAUCACUAAAGGACUUCAUUCACAAGGGCCAUCUAUUCACCUAUGCGUUUCAUCAGCAGUAAAUCCCUAUAAUUUUAAAGCUGAAGUUGGCUCAAUAUGCAAAUUAUUUGCAAAAGUGCCAAUGAUUUCAUUAUAUAAUUGGCAUAAAAUGCUGUACACAGAGAUGUGUAAACCUUGGCAGCUCCAUAGCAGUGUCCAAUGCCACUGGGACAAAGCAAAAAGGAGGAAGAAUGACCCUCUUAUUAUUUCCCUUCCUGUGCCAGGGUCCCUGAAAACCAGCCAUGAGGUAAAGGGGAAGAGAAGCCUCUAUCCUGAUCUGAUGCACAUUCCACAGACAGGAAGUGGUGCCUUCUCUUAACUAUUCCAAUGGCUAUUAAAAUACUACGAGGCUGACACUGAAUACCAGCAUUUUGGCCAGAUCUCAUAUUAAUUCCUUUUCAGAGUCCAUUUCAGUACAGGUUUUUUGUCUGUACAGAAUGUGCUGUUCUUGGCAUCUUCGUAUCCCAUGAAGAUAUGUAAAAUAUUGAACAGCUUAGAGAGAGUGGAUCAGAAGCUUCUCUUCUCCCAGUCUCAUAACACAAAAGCAAGGUGGCAUUCCAUGAAACUAAAAUGUGGUAAACUCAAAAUGGAUGAAAGGAAACCACUUUUUACUGGAUGUGCAGUCAGACAGUGGAACUCAUUGCCACAGGAAGUCAAUGCAAAAUUCAAAGUGGGACUGGACCUUUAUAUGGCUAAUGGCAACAUCAGGAGUCAUCCUAGCUAAUGCUGAAUAAAGACUUUCGGAAUGGAAAUACACCUUCGGGGGGUGGGGAGAGCAGAUUGUUCCACAUCUGCCUGCUGUGAUAGUCCUUGCUUUUUCUACUGAAGACUCUGGUGCUGACCCCUGUCAAAGUCAGUAGACUAUGUUUUUGAUUCAAUCUGUCUGUUUCUAUACUGGUAGUACAGUUAUAGUGAUCUUUCAUGAAACAAAAUGUUGCUUAUGCUGAAAUCUUAACCUGGGCUGGCUUUUGAUGAAUAUGUCCACUGUAAUGCUCCUAUGGUGAUCAAUUAGAUCAUUUAAUAAACCAUCUCAUUUUGUGUUGUUUUA
Long non-coding RNA from Gavialis gangeticus (Gharial), 3188 nucleotides. RefSeq lists it as uncharacterized. The record is from RefSeq and is a predicted model, not a curated record. The transcript is spliced from 2 exons. NCBI's taxonomy places the organism in Eukaryota, Metazoa, Chordata, Crocodylia, Gavialidae.